CUCGUCGUGUGAAGUGUGGUCGUCGUCAUUGUAGUCGCCCGCUCGACUACUUCAUUCAACCCUUAAGGAAAACUGCAUGAAACAAUUCAAACAA
Drosophila arizonae is the source of this 94-nucleotide long non-coding RNA. Lineage: Eukaryota; Metazoa; Arthropoda; Insecta; Diptera; Drosophilidae. The record is from RefSeq and is a predicted model, not a curated record.